Molecule: ribosomal RNA, 431 nt
Rfam family: Bacterial small subunit ribosomal RNA
CAUGCUCAGGAUGAACGCUGGCGGCGUGCUUAACACAUGCAAGUCGAACGAUGAAGCCCAGCUUGCUGGGUGGAUUAGUGGCGAACGGGUGAGUAACACGUGAGUAACCUGCCCUUAACUCUGGGAUAAGCCUGGGAAACUGGGUCUAAUACCGGAUAGGAGCGUCCACCGCAUGGUGGGUGUUGGAAAGAUUUAUCGGUUUUGGAUGGACUCGCGGCCUAUCAGCUUGUUGGUGAGGUAAUGGCUCACCAAGGCGACGACGGGUAGCCGGCCUGAGAGGGUGACCGGCCACACUGGGACUGAGACACGGCCCAGACUCCUACGGGAGGCAGCAGUGGGGAAUAUUGCACAAUGGGCGAAAGCCUGAUGCAGCGACGCCGCGUGAGGGAUGACGGCCUUCGGGUUGUAAACCUCUUUCAGUAGGGAAGAAG